This 76-nucleotide transfer RNA is filed under the name Alteromonas mediterranea. RNAcentral's name for it is "tRNA-Phe". It matches the Rfam family "tRNA". From Rfam's summary of the family: Transfer RNA (tRNA) molecules are approximately 80 nucleotides in length. Their secondary structure includes four short double-helical elements and three loops (D, anti-codon, and T loops). Lineage: Bacteria; Pseudomonadati; Pseudomonadota; Gammaproteobacteria; Alteromonadales; Alteromonadaceae. The record is from RNAcentral.
GCCGAGGUAACUCAGUUGGUAGAGUGCCUGAUUGAAGAUCAGGAGGUCGCGGGUUCGAGUCCCGCCUGAGGCACCA